This 219-nucleotide ribosomal RNA is filed under the name Escherichia coli. RNAcentral describes it as "partial 16S ribosomal RNA". It matches the Rfam family "Bacterial small subunit ribosomal RNA", at positions 1 to 218 of the family's 1533-position model. Lineage: Bacteria; Pseudomonadati; Pseudomonadota; Gammaproteobacteria; Enterobacterales; Enterobacteriaceae. The record is from RNAcentral.
AAAUUGAAGAGUUUGAUCAUGGCUCAGAUUGAACGCUGGCGGCAGGCCUAACACAUGCAAGUCGAACGGUAACAGGAAGAAGCUUGCUUCUUUGCUGACGAGUGGCGGACGGGUGAGUAAUGUCUGGGAAACUGCCUGAUGGAGGGGGAUAACUACUGGAAACGGUAGCUAAUACCGCAUAAUGUCGCAAGACCAAAGAGGGGGACCUUCAGGCCUCUU